CCACCCGUGUUCUUAAAUUUUUCAUGUUCAGGUCUUGCUAUUGCUCCUAAUAUCUAAGGAGGUGUUAAUUUUUGCUUUCUCUUUAUAUAGUCAGAUCUACCUGUAAGAGAAAAGAUAUUUCUUCUUCUGGAUGCUGCACAGACUUCUCUUGGCGGAGCUUCUGGGAGAUUCCCUCAGUAUUAUUCUGCAUAUUAUGAGUUAGUGGUAGGUAGAUUCUCCCUAACCGUACAUAUAACAGUAUUCUAAUGAGAAACAUUAACCUGUCUGUACUCUACUGAAAAAGAAUAGGAAGAGUUGAAGAGACUAGGGGUGUGUUUGGUAUAACGGAAGUAAUCUUAUCUAACCGUACAUAUAACAGUAUUCUAUUGAGAAACAUUGACCUGUCUGUACUCUAUUGAAAAAGAAAAGAAAGAGUUGAAGAGGCUAUAUGUUGUGUGUAAAUCCUUUAAUUAUAUCUCCUUAAUUUUGAGGAUGGUCAUCAUCUGUUUCUUAACUAAUUGACUCUACGUUUGGUGCUUACACAAACUCAAAGUUAGCACAUAUAUUUUGAUGUAAUUUUUCACAAGGUUAUUGAAAACUGAGAAAUUUGACCAAGUUAUGCGUUAUGAAAAUUUUGAUAACUGGUAAAAGGUUCUUUUAUGAUUAGAAAAGUAAAGAAGAUAGGAAGGAAGAAAAAGGAGCAGUAGAUCUAGUGAAGAAAAAGAUGUCACACACAAAAUGUUAAGAACAAGGAAAAAAACAGCAGCGUUUUGGAGAUAAGAGUAGCUCCAUACAAGUAGUAAAAAUGAAUUGUAUCUUAAAUUUUCUCACUUCUGGCGUAAAGAACUUUUUGUAGAAGAUGCAGAAUCUAUUUUUCACUUUUGGAACCUUAUAAAGUAUACAGGGGCUGUAACUUGUAAAUACUGUUGCCAGCAUAAUCUUUGUGCUGAUGAAUGAAAUGUCACCAUUCUCAAAGAAAAUGCUAAAACCAUAUCAACAAAAUAUUUCAUUCUUGUUUUAUACUUUCAGAAUGUAUUUUCCCCAAAUAGCUCGCGUAGUUCCAUUGCUCAAUGGAUGAAGUUUGGACCCCAAGUCCUCAAUAACUCUUAACAUUACUGAUGCGGAAUUUAUUUAAAGACAACUCCUGAAGUUCAUGCUCCUAUAGCCAUGUAGAAUGGAGGAGAGAACUUACAUCUUGACUUAGGCUAGUUGUAGCCUGGUUUCUUGUGGCUUAUGCGGUGUCGAGUGAAACAAUGCUGUAAAAUAUCAAGCAACUAGGAUGAUAUUCCAGAAUUGAGGACAAAGAAUCAAAGAUCUCUUUUGUUUUACCAGUACCUUUGGUGUAAGCAGAAAAUAAGUGUGUUGUAUUAGAGAGUCAGGAUAGAUUUUUGGGGUUUCUAAUGAUAUUCAUUUUAGAAUCAUAUUGUAUUAGUCACACCAACUUGGUGCUUAUAAAAUUUUCUUAUGUAUUAAAAAAGGUAUGGAUGUGCAACAAAUUCAGCCACCACCUGCAGUUUUGACACUCAACCUCGUGACUUCAGAUGUGCAUAAGCAUCGAAAGUAGAAAUUAAUACAACUAGAGAAGAAGUGAUCAAAUCUUACCUGAACUAAGGAAGAAUACACUAAAAAGAUAAGUUUUGGAUUCUAAACGUAUUAUGUGGAUUGCCUUUUGGACAUAAAAGAAUGUCCAAUUCUGCUCCACGGUCAAUUCCAAAGUAACAGUAAGUAGAAAAUGGAAGAGAACCAAAAGUAGUUUGUUUUGUGCUUUUCCCUUUGGAUCGACUCCCUCCUUGUCACGACCCAAAACCUAUGUUUCGCGGACUCUCCAAAAUAGCGCCACACCCGUGUCGGAUCCUCCGAGAAUGCACUAUUUUUGAAGGAUCCGACAUCAUAGCCCAAAACCCCACCAAGUCAUGAUGACACCUAACCUAAUCCGCUAGGUAUACCAAACCAAGUCAUGAUGACACCUAACCUAAUCCGCUAGGUAUACCAAACAAUAUAAGUUACUACUACAACGAGAAAUCAUCAAUAUUAUAAGUAAAACCACAAAAGAAUUCACUACGACUACCCCAAGGAUUGGCAGUACAAGUCAUGAGCGAUUAUGAUUUGGAUUUACAAAACUGAUGUGAGAAAUAAAUACAAUAUCUGUUUGAAGUUUUUCAUGAACAAAAAUGAAAUUCUAAACUAUCAUGAGCAAAGGUAGCUUGAAUCCGAAUCGCUGGUACAUCUCCAAUACAAGGCUUCAUCCUCCACAACUGCUCAACUCCAAAAUCUACACGUAAGAUGCGGAAGUGUAGUAUGAAAAACUGACCCCAUGUACUCAGUAAGUAUCCUAACUAAUCUCCGUGAAGUAGUGAUGAGAUCUCAGGUCAAGGAUACUCACCAUAUAUAUAUAAAACUUGUACAACUCAAAACAUAUGUGUCUACCCACCAAUGGAAUCAGAGUCUUAAACAUGAAAUACAGGUACCACCAAACAGUGCACAUAAAGGAAAUGUGUGCCCGUCUCUUCACAAUUUAACAUAUAAAGAAGUUAUGCAUUUGAUAUAAGAUGACACAUCGACAAUUG
This 2546-nucleotide long non-coding RNA is filed under the name Nicotiana benthamiana. RNAcentral's name for it is "long non-coding RNA (NBEN_LNC004479)". Lineage: Eukaryota; Viridiplantae; Streptophyta; Magnoliopsida; Solanales; Solanaceae. The record is from RNAcentral.